GCAUGGGAUAGCUCAGUCAGUACAGAAUGAGAUUCUUAAUCUCAGGGUCAUGGGUUCGAGCCCACAUUAGGCA
This is a non-coding RNA of Podarcis lilfordi (Lilford's wall lizard), 73 nucleotides long. NCBI's taxonomy places the organism in Eukaryota, Metazoa, Chordata, Lepidosauria, Squamata, Lacertidae. The record is from the annotation of a GenBank genome assembly.